UGACAUCUCAGGUGAACAAAUUCUUCCCACUCUUCUGAGCAACCAUCUCAAAAUAUAAUAAAGAUGCUGCCAAGAAAUGAAGUGCCACAAAAAGAAGAAAAGACAUAAGAAGAUACUGCCACCAGAAAACACUGGGAACAGAAAAAGACACAAAGUAAAUAGAUUGCUGGAGAUGCAGUCUGGCAUGUGCUAUGAAAACAAUCACCAAUUUCUGCACUUGAUUAGUCUGCCCGUCGCCUCAGCCAUUGUCAGCCACAUUGCGUUAUUCGAAAAUGCAUUGCAAUGUAUUUAGAGUUAUGAAGUCUUAGAGUUUGUACUUGAUUCUGUAAAUAAAUUAUUAUUAUGGCUAUUAAAACUUUUUAAAAGCAAA
Molecule: long non-coding RNA, 370 nt
Organism: Homo sapiens (human)
Lineage: Eukaryota; Metazoa; Chordata; Mammalia; Primates; Hominidae
Exons: 5
Source: RefSeq, marked validated